AUUGAACGCUGGCGGCAUGCCUUACACAUGCAAGUCGAACGGUAACAGGUCUUCGGAUGCUGACGAGUGGCGAACGGGUGAGUAAUAUAUCGGAACGUGCCCAGUCGUGGGGGAUAACGCAGUGAAAGCUGUGCUAAUACCGCAUACGAUCUAUGGAUGAAAGCGGGGGAUCGCAAGACCUCGCGCGAUUGGAGCGGCCGAUAUCAGAUUAGGUAGUUGGUAGGGUAAAAGCCUACCAAGCCAACGAUCUGUAGCUGGUCUGAGAGGACGACCAGCCACACUGGAACUGAGACACGGUCCAGACUCCUACGGGAGGCAGCAGUGAGGAAUUUUGGACAAUGGGCGCAAGCCUGAUCCAGCAAUGCCGCGUGCAGGAUGAAGGCCUUCGGGUUGUAAACUGCUUUUGUACGGAACGAAAAAGUCUGCCCUAAUACGGCGGGCCCAUGACGGUACCGUAAGAAUAAGCACCGGCUAACUACGUGCCAGCAGCCGCGGUAAUACGUAGGGUGCGAGCGUUAAUCGGAAUUACUGGGCGUAAAGCGUGCGCAGGCGGUUAUAUAAGUCAGAUGUGAAAUCCCCGGGCUCAACCUGGGAUCUGCAUUUGAGACUGUAUAGCUAGAGUACGGUAGAGGGGGAUGGAAUUCCGCGUGUAGCAGUGAAAUGCGUAGAUAUGCGGAGGAACACCGAUGGCGAAGGCAAUCCCCUGGACCUGUACUGACGCUCAUGCACGAAAGCGUGGGGAGCAAACA
RNAcentral lists this ribosomal RNA (749 nucleotides) under uncultured bacterium. Its description in RNAcentral is "bacterial SSU rRNA". It matches the Rfam family "Bacterial small subunit ribosomal RNA", at positions 28 to 774 of the family's 1533-position model. The record is from RNAcentral.